GAUAACAACGCGAAAGCGUAGCUAAUACCGCAUACGCCCUUCGGGGGAAAGCAGGGGAUCGUAAGACCUUGCACUAUUAGAGCGGCCGAUAUCGGAUUAGCUAGUUGGUGGGGUAAAGGCUUACCAAGGCAACGAUCAGUAGUUGGUCUGAGAGGACGACCAACCACACUGGGACUGAGACACGGCCCAGACUCCAACGGGAGGCAGCAGUGGGGAAUUUUGGACAAUGGGCGAAAGCCUGAUCCAGCCAUGCCGCGUGAGUGAAGAAGGCCUUCGGGUUGUAAAGCUCUUUUAGUCAGAAAGAAAGAAUCAUGACGAAUAAUUAUGAUUUAUGACGGUACUGACAGAAAAAGCACCGGCUAACUACGUGCCAGCAGCCGCGGUAAUACGUAGGGUGCGAGUGUUAAUCGGAAUUACUGGGCGUAAAGGGUGCGCAGGCGGUUUUGUAAGUCAGAUGUGAAAGCCCCGGGCUUAACCUGGGAAUUGCGUUUGAAACCACAAGGCUAGAGUGCAGCAGAGGGGAGUGGAAUUCCAUGUGUAGCAGUGAAAUGCGUAGAGAUGUGGAAGAACACCGAUGGCGAAGGCAGCUCCCUAGGUUGACACUGACGCUCAUGCACGAAAGCGUGGGGAGCAAACAGGAUUAGAUACCCUGAUAGUCCACGCCCUAAACGAUGUCAACUGGUUGCCGGAUCUAAUUAAGGAUUUGGCAACGUAGCUAACGCGUGAAGUUGACCGCCUGGGGAGUACGGUCGCAAGAUUAGAACUCAAAGGAAUUGACGGGGACCCGCACAAGCGGUGGAUUAUGUGGAUUAAUUCGAUGCAACGCGAAAAACCUUACCUGCCCUUGACAUGCUUGGAAUCUAGUGGAGACAUAAGAGUGCCCGAAAGGGAGCCAAGACACAGGUGCUGCAUGGCUGUCGUCAGCUCGUGUCGUGAGAUGUUAGGUUAAGUCCCGCAACGAGCGCAACCCUUGUCAUUAGUUGCUACGAAAGGGCACUCUAAUGAGACUGCCGGUGGCAAACCGGAGGAAGGUGGGGAUGACGUCAAGUCCUCAUGGCCCUUAUGGGUAGGACUUCACACGUCAUACAAUGGUCGGG
RNAcentral lists this ribosomal RNA (1097 nucleotides) under uncultured bacterium. RNAcentral's name for it is "bacterial SSU rRNA". It matches the Rfam family "Bacterial small subunit ribosomal RNA", at positions 142 to 1238 of the family's 1533-position model. The record is from RNAcentral.